This 564-nucleotide ribosomal RNA is filed under the name uncultured Glomeromycotina. RNAcentral describes it as "SSU rRNA". It matches the Rfam family "Eukaryotic small subunit ribosomal RNA", at positions 548 to 1114 of the family's 1831-position model. The record is from RNAcentral. Lineage: Eukaryota; Fungi; Glomeromycota.
UUGGAGGGCAAGUCUGGUGCCAGCAGCCGCGGUAAUUCCAGCUUCAAUAGCGUAUAUUAAAGUUGUUGCAGUUAAAAAGCUCGUAGUUGAAUUUCGGGAUCAAAUUGUCGGUCGUGCCUCGGUACGCACUGGUAUUAUUGGUUCCUACCUUCUGAAGAACCGCGAUGUCAUUAAUUUGGUGUCGUGGGGAAUCAGGACUGUUACUUUGAAAAAAUUAGAGUGUUUAAAGCAGGCGCACGCUUGAAUACAUUAGCAUGGAAUAAUGAAAUAGGACGUUUGAUUCUAUUUUGUUGGUUUCUAGGAUCGACGUAAUGAUUAAUAGGGAUAGUUGGGGGCAUUAGUAUUCAAUUGUCAGAGGUGAAAUUCUUGGAUUUAUUGAAGACUAACUACUGCGAAAGCAUUUGCCAAGGAUGUUUUCAUUAAUCAAGAACGAAAGUUAGGGGAUCGAAGACGAUCAGAUACCGUCGUAGUCUUAACCAUAAACUAUGCCGACUAGGGAUCGGAUGAUGUUAAUUUUUUAAUGACUCAUUCGGCGCCUUACGGGAAACCAAAGUGUUUGGGUUC